CGGGAGGCUGGGCUUGCAGCGGGGAAGACCCCACACAAAUCGCUGUCUCCCCAUACCUUACGGACUGAUGCGGUCGGAUCAGGCUUCGGGCAGGGGCGUGGAGCGCUGCCGCGUCCUCGCCGCCGAGCGAUCUCCGCUCCGACACGGCCGGGGCGCCGUUUCUGCGGCCGAGAGGGAAAGUUUCUCGACGUCGAGACAGCGCUGGACUCGGGACCCUCCGGCCCCGGUGCCCUCCCUCUUCGCGCUCUCUGCCCCCUCCCUCCUCUUCCCAACCCGCUGAAGCUAAAACUGGCGGCGGCUGGGGCUCGAGGCUCGGGACUCCGGGUCGCUCCCGGCUGGGAACGCGGGGCUCCCCCUCUCGGCCAGAAGGAAACUCUCAGACUCCGGCUGGCGCACUUCUGGCGGUCUCCUUGGACACUUCCAAACGGGACGCCUGUGUUCGAGCUCUCAGACUUGCUUCAGUCUCUGAUGGUCGUUUCCCCCGGGCCCACUGGGCUGUCUGGCGUUUGCAGGCGGGACCAAAGGAGGAGAAUGAAAUGUGAGGGAAACGCCACUGUGGCAGGAGAGGCCUCACCUUACCCUGUGCGGAGCCGGGACAGAAGCAAAAACACAGUCCGUGUCCUUGUCAAUAACCAACCUCCCGUGGCUGUCGCAGUCCCUCCUCUGGGUGGCCAGGCCAUUUCUCUGCAGGAAUAUCUUCAUUAUCCUGCUCAGGGGCCCACAACUCAAGACGGACUCCUGUAUCCUCACCCACGGAGGGUUCCAGCACACUGUGCCAGGCGGCCAUCUGUGUGAUUUCCUCUGCAUCUUGUUUGGGCUCCAACUCAUUACACAAGGCUGCUCCUCCAGGAGAACACCCUCUUCCCCACAUUUGGGCUUCCUCAGCCCUCUCUGGGCCUCUACAGUCCCCCCAUCCCAGGACCAACACAGGUGUUUACCUCACUUUGCCACUCCUAAUAGAUAUCAUUCAUAUUGCCAAAGUAGUUCUGGAAAGUUAACAAAAAUGUACCCUCCCAUGAGCAGCAUAUUAGUGAGUGCCAUUUCUUCAACACAUAACACUUGUUAUUUUAUUUUUUUACCUAUGUUACCUAGUUAGUAAGAAACAGGUACAGAUGCCUGUGUGAAUCAUGCUUCCUGGUGUGUUUGGCAUACCAUCAUCCUGCAAGUUCCCACAGACCCUUCUCGAUUUUAUUUCAUGAUGCACUUUUACCUUCAUUCUCCCCCAUUCACUUAACCCAACACAAGUACUCAUUCUAAUGUGCUCUAAUAUGUAUCUUUUUUUAAAGUUUAUGUGUACUCUUGCAAAAUAUUUAUUUUUUAUGCUUUUUAAUGUAUGUAAAUGCUAUUGGGCAAAAUACUCCAUUUCAUUGUUACUUUUUUCUCCAAACAUCUUUAAUUUUCAAGUAAGUUAAGUGAAAAAUUAGCUCAAUUAUUGGUUAACUUUCACUGUUAAUAAAGCUGAGAAUGUUUUCA
Molecule: long non-coding RNA, 1473 nt
Filed under: Felis catus (domestic cat)
Lineage: Eukaryota; Metazoa; Chordata; Mammalia; Carnivora; Felidae
Description: lncRNA (ENSFCAG00000047538.1)
Source: RNAcentral